RNAcentral lists this ribosomal RNA (498 nucleotides) under uncultured bacterium. RNAcentral describes it as "partial 16S ribosomal RNA". It matches the Rfam family "Bacterial small subunit ribosomal RNA", at positions 28 to 507 of the family's 1533-position model. The record is from RNAcentral.
GACGAACGCUGGCGGCGUGCCUAAUACAUGCAAGUCGAACGAGAGCGACCGGUGCUUGCACUGGUCAAUCUAGUGGCGAACGGGUGAGUAACACGUGGGUAACCUGCCCAUCAGAGGGGGAUAACAUUCGGAAACGGACGCUAAAACCGUAUAGGUUUUCGAACCGCAUGGUUUGAUGAGGAAAAGAGGCGCAAGCUUCUGCUGUUGGAUGGACCCGCGGUGCAUUAGCUAGUUGGUGAGGUAACGGCUCACCAAGGCCGUGAUGCAUAGCCGACCUGAGAGGGUGAUCGGCCACAUUGGGACUGAGACACGGCCCAAACUCCUACGGGAGGCAGCAGUAGGGAAUCUUCCGCAAUGGACGCAAGUCUGACGGAGCAACGCCGCGUGAGUGAAGAAGGUUUUCGGAUCGUAAAACUCUGUUGUUAGAGAAGAAUAAGUGCUAGAGUAACUGUUAGCGCCUUGACGGUAUCUAACCAGAAAGCCACGGCUAACUACGUG